This 777-nucleotide ribosomal RNA is filed under the name uncultured Neocallimastigales. RNAcentral describes it as "partial large subunit ribosomal RNA". It matches the Rfam family "Eukaryotic large subunit ribosomal RNA", at positions 23 to 634 of the family's 3401-position model. The record is from RNAcentral. Lineage: Eukaryota; Fungi; Neocallimastigomycota; Neocallimastigomycetes; Neocallimastigales.
AGAGAGAGACAUGCGCGCAUAUCAAUAAGCGGAGGAAAAGAAACUAACAAGGAUUCCCUUAGUAACGGCGAGUGAAAGCGGGAAGAGCUCAAAUUUGAAAUCUUCAAGGUUUUACCUUGACGAAUUGUAGUUUAAAGAAGUGUUUUCUGCUGAAGUUUUGGUAAAAGUUCUUUGGAAUAGGGACAUCAUAGAGGGUGAGAAUCCCGUAUUUGACCAUUAUUUUCAGCUUUGUGAUACACUUUCAAAGAGUCGGAUUGUUUGGGAAUGCAGUCCAAAAUGGGUGGUAAAUUUCAUCUAAAGCUAAAUAUUGGCGAGAGACCGAUAGCGAACAAGUACCGUGAGGGAAAGAUGAAAAGAACUUUGAAAGAGAGAGUUAAACAGUACGUGAAAUUGUCAAAAGGGAAGCGUUUGACACCAGUGUUGUUUUCUCGAAAAUCAAUUAAAAAUGGCUCGAUUUUGUAUUGCUGAGACCUUAAAAGCUCACUGUACAUUUUUCGUGUCUUUUUUAAUGCACUUUUCGUUUAACAAGUCAACAUCAGUUUCUUUUGUUGUAAAAGGGUCAUUGGAAGGUGGCUUUCUUUUCGGAGAAAGUGUUUAUAGCCUUUGGCCUCUGCAAUCGGAGAGACUGAGGUCUGCAGCGUAGACUCUUCGGGGUUAGAUACAUUUGUGCUAAGUUAUAGCUUUUUAUAGACAACUUGCUGACUAUAAUUAGUCUUGUAGCUUACUCGCUUAUGCUAUUUUACCUACGCUUAGGAUGUUGAAGAUGUAGCACAUCAU